RNAcentral lists this ribosomal RNA (483 nucleotides) under uncultured bacterium. Its description in RNAcentral is "partial 16S ribosomal RNA". It matches the Rfam family "Bacterial small subunit ribosomal RNA", at positions 28 to 506 of the family's 1533-position model. The record is from RNAcentral.
AUUGAACGCUGGCGGCAUGCUUUACACAUGCAAGUCGAACGGCAGCGCGGGCUUCGGCCUGGCGGCGAGUGGCGAACGGGUGAGUAAUGCAUCGGAACGUGCCCAGUAGUGGGGGAUAGCCCGGCGAAAGCCGGAUUAAUACCGCAUACGACCUGAGGGUGAAAGCGGGGGACCGAAAGGCCUCGCGCUAUUGGAGCGGCCGAUGUCGGGUUAGCUAGUUGGUGGGGUAAAGGCUUACCAAGGCGACGAUCCGUAGCUGGUCUGAGAGGACGACCAGCCACACUGGGACUGAGACACGGCCCAGACUCCUACGGGAGGCAGCAGUGGGGAAGUUUGGACAAUGGGGGCAACCCUGAUCCAGCCAUGCCGCGUGCGGGAAGAAGGCCUUCGGGUUGUAAACCGCUUUUGUUCGGGAAGAAAUCCUCUGGGCUAAUACCCCGGGGGGAUGACGGUACCGGAAGAAUAAGCACCGGCUAACUACGU